RNAcentral lists this ribosomal RNA (253 nucleotides) under uncultured bacterium. RNAcentral's name for it is "partial 16S ribosomal RNA". It matches the Rfam family "Bacterial small subunit ribosomal RNA", at positions 524 to 776 of the family's 1533-position model. The record is from RNAcentral.
UACGUAGGGAGCGAGCGUUAUCCGGAAUUAUUGGGUGUAAAGGGUGCGUAGACGGGAAUACAAGUUAGUUGUGAAAUCCCUCGGCUUAACUGAGGAACUGCAACUAAAACUAUAUUUCUUGAGUGCAGGAGAGGUAAGUGGAAUUCCUAGUGUAGCGGUGAAAUGCGUAGAUAUUAGGAGGAACACCAGUGGCGAAGGCGACUUACUGGACCGUAACUGACGUUGAGGCACGAAAGUGUGGGGAGCAAACAGG